RNAcentral lists this ribosomal RNA (621 nucleotides) under uncultured bacterium. RNAcentral's name for it is "bacterial SSU rRNA". It matches the Rfam family "Bacterial small subunit ribosomal RNA", at positions 338 to 951 of the family's 1533-position model. The record is from RNAcentral.
CCUACGGGAGGCAGCAGUGGGGAAUUUUGGACAAUGGACGCAAGUCUGAUCCAGCCAUGCCGCGUGCGGGAAGAAGGCCUUCGGGUUGUAAACCGCUUUUGUCAGGGAAGAAACGAGUUUCUCUAAUACAGAGACUUAAUGACGGUACCUGAAGAAUAAGCACCGGCUAACUACGUGCCAGCAGCCGCGGUAAUACGUAGGGUGCAAGCGUUAAUCGGAAUUACUGGGCGUAAAGCGUGCGCAGGCGGUUAUGCAAGACAGAUGUGAAAUCCCCGGGCUCAACCUGGGAACUGCAUUUGUGACUGCAUGGCUAGAGUACGGUAGAGGGGGAUGGAAUUCCGCGUGUAGCAGUGAAAUGCGUAGAUAUGCGGAGGAACACCGAUGGCGAAGGCAAUCCCCUGGACCUGUACUGACGCUCAUGCACGAAAGCGUGGGGAGCAAACAGGAUUAGAUACCCUGGUAGUCCACGCCCUAAACGAUGUCAACUGGUUGUUGGGAGGGUUUCUUCUCAGUACGAAGCUAACGCGUGAAGUUGACCGCCGUGGGGAGUAACGGCCGCAAGGUUGAAACGUUAAAGGAAUUGGNGGCGNGNGAGNGCGAGGACGACGACGAGGGAGGAGG